UCACGACCUGAACCGAAGGCAGAAGCUUAACGACUGAGCCACCCAGGCGCCCUGAAAAUUAUUCUUGAGCCUUACAACCUAAUUGAAUUUGCCUUGCUAGCUUUGGGGCUUGCCAGAGACCCACCACCCCUCUGUGCUUUCUGAUUUGUUCCCUGCGGCAUGGGAAUCUCUGUCCUAUGCCUGUCCCACCGCUGUAUUUUCGAAGCGUGUAACUUGUCUGGUUUCACAGGCUCACAGCUGGAGAGGAAUUCAGCCUCAGGUCUCACUCAUACCUGAUUUAAAUGAUACCCAGAACCUGCCCUCUGUGUGUGCAGCCCAGUGAGCAAGAGCUCCUCUCAAGGGAGGUAUCUUAUCUAUUUGUGAUAAAUAAAUGAAAUCUUAAAAAAAAGAAGAAGAGGAAGAGACACCAGAACGCUCUGACUGCAUGUGUACAGAGAAAACACCAUGUGAGGACACAGCAAGAAGGUGGCCAUCUACAAGCCAGGAAAAGGCUCUUACCAGGAACCCAAUUUGUCAGCACCUUGAUCUUGGACUUCUAGCUUCCAGAACUGUGAGAAAAUACAUUUCGAUCAUCUAAGCCACCCAGCUUGUGGUAUUUUGUUAUGAUGGCUCAAACAGACUAAUACAGGAUAUAUAUGAGGACUUUCUGUCUUUUCUACCUAAAUGGUCUGCAUACCUAGAACUUCCCUAAGAAAUAAAGUCUAUUAAAAUCUUUUUAAAGAUUUUAUUUAUUUAUUCAUGAA
Long non-coding RNA from Callorhinus ursinus (northern fur seal), 743 nucleotides. RefSeq lists it as uncharacterized. The record is from RefSeq and is a predicted model, not a curated record. Lineage: Eukaryota; Metazoa; Chordata; Mammalia; Carnivora; Otariidae.